ACCGGCGGCCCGAGUGGUGGCCACUAUUAUUGGGUCUAAAGGGUCCGUAGCCGGUUUGGUCAGUCUUCCGGGAAAUCUGACGGCUCAACCGUUAGGCUUUCGAGGGAUACUGCCAGGCUAGGGACCGGGAGAGGUGAGAGGUACUACAGGGGUAGGAGUGAAAUCCUGUAAUCCUUGGGGGACCACCUGUGGCGAAGGCGUCUCACCAGGACGGCUCCGACAGUGAGGAACGAAAGCUGGGGGCGCAAACCG
This 252-nucleotide ribosomal RNA is filed under the name uncultured prokaryote. Its description in RNAcentral is "partial 16S rRNA". It matches the Rfam family "Archaeal small subunit ribosomal RNA", at positions 475 to 726 of the family's 1478-position model. The record is from RNAcentral.